RNAcentral lists this ribosomal RNA (140 nucleotides) under uncultured Clostridium sp. RNAcentral describes it as "partial 16S ribosomal RNA". It matches the Rfam family "Bacterial small subunit ribosomal RNA", at positions 355 to 513 of the family's 1533-position model. Lineage: Bacteria; Bacillati; Bacillota; Clostridia; Eubacteriales; Clostridiaceae. The record is from RNAcentral.
UGGGGAAUAUUGCACAAUGGGGGAAACCCUGAUGCAGCAACGCCGCGUGAGUGAUGAAGGUCUUCGGAUCGUAAAGCUCUGUCUUCAGGGACGAUAAUGACGGUACCUGAGGAGGAAGCCACGGCUAACUAUUGCUUCAA